UUCCUUGCCAACUACCUGUUUAGUGUGAAACUUUGUGAAUGCGUAGGGUGGCUUACUCUACUGUUGGCUUUAGUUUAGUUACCGCAUGAUGAUCUGUUCACAUAACGUUCCGCGUUUGAUUACUUUGCGUUAUUGCGGCAGGUAACGGGCUGCCUACUAACUAGCAUGGAAAUGAAUUAGCUGAAUGUUAGCUCACUGGGCAAACUGGAUCUCUUAGCGUUAUACUAACUGACUUCUCAGUAAAUGUGACAAACACGCACUCUGGCUCUUCAGCCUUUUUUUACAUCCGAAAACGAUUUAAUUAACUCUGAGGCCUGUGUUCAACCAUAAUGGAAUUAAAGAUACGGGGGAAUUGUCUUGCUCUUUAAAUUUUGGUCCAGGAUGAGGCCUGUAGGUCGGGCUUUCGCCGGAAUAAAGUAGCUGCGCUUCACUGUCUGUGUGAGAACCACAGUCACCCGCUGGAGCGAGGGGAACCAGAAGCUGCAAGGAAAAGCGAUGGAAGUAGACCAGUGCGCAGGCGCAACUGCUGGAAGCGGAACAAAUCUUCUACGUAGAUUAAAUAGCGCCCCCAUGAUCAGCGGUGUCUGCGACGGAAUAAUGGUGAUCAGCCCAUCCAGUUCAGCUCGCUGUCGCCGGAGCAGCAGCGUGUGACGGUCUGUAAACCGAAGCUUCCCUGUGCGGGGGAUUCCACUGCCCCACUUUCCACUGAUAGUGAGAAGCCAGAUCAGAAAUGACAGGAGGAGAGUAUGGCGCUCAGUCUGAGAGGAAAUGUUCAUGAACUGAGUCACUUGUAUGACCAAGAAUUGCUUGGAGUCCGUUCUCUGGAUGGUGGCAUGACACCUAAUUCAUCCCCAAGUCCAACUAGAAGAUUCAGAGGCUAUAAGAUGGCUGCCUUUAACUACAAUGAAAAGAAAAGUAGUUCAAAGACAGAUCUGUGGUUACCCAGGUGCCUACGUGGUUGCAGGUGGAAUCAGGCAAAAAAGGCUCUCUUAAAAGAGGAAAAGAGUGUGAUGGACCCCCCAAAAAGCUGUUUGUCGCUGGAGUAACCAACCCCCCCCCCCCCCCCCCACAUC
This is a long non-coding RNA of Scleropages formosus (Asian bonytongue), 1073 nucleotides long. RefSeq lists it as uncharacterized. Lineage: Eukaryota; Metazoa; Chordata; Actinopteri; Osteoglossiformes; Osteoglossidae. The transcript is spliced from 9 exons. The record is from RefSeq and is a predicted model, not a curated record.